Molecule: ribosomal RNA, 530 nt
Filed under: Lasionectria sp. CF176994
Lineage: Eukaryota; Fungi; Ascomycota; Sordariomycetes; Hypocreales; Nectriaceae
Description: eukaryotic LSU rRNA
Rfam family: Eukaryotic large subunit ribosomal RNA
Source: RNAcentral
GAGGAAAAGAAACCAACAGGGAUUGCCCCAGUAACGGCGAGUGAAGCGGCAACAGCUCAAAUUUGAAAUCUGGCUCUAGGGCCCGAGUUGUAAUUUGCAGAGGAUGUUUCUGGCAAGGUGCCUUCCGAGUUCCCUGGAACGGGACGCCAUAGAGGGUGAGAGCCCCGUCUGGUUGGAUGCCGAGCCUCUGUGAAACUCCUUCGACGAGUCGAGUAGUUUGGGAAUGCUGCUCUAAAUGGGAGGUAUACGUCUUCUAAAGCUAAAUACCGGCCAGAGACCGAUAGCGCACAAGUAGAGUGAUCGAAAGAUGAAAAGCACUUUGAAAAGAGGGUUAAAUAGUACGUGAAAUUGUUGAAAGGGAAGCGCUCAUGACCAGACUUGGGCCGGUUGAUCAUCCAUCGUUCUCGGUGGUGCACUCUGCCGGUUCAGGCCAGCAUCAGUUUAUCUCGGGGGACAAAGACGUCGGGAACGUGGCUCUUCCGGGAGUGUUAUAGCCCUUCGUGUAAUACCCUGAAGUAGACUGAGGUACG